RNAcentral lists this ribosomal RNA (615 nucleotides) under Penicillium viridicatum. Its description in RNAcentral is "eukaryotic LSU rRNA". The stretch from base 234 to 386 matches the Rfam family "5.8S ribosomal RNA". The record is from RNAcentral. Lineage: Eukaryota; Fungi; Ascomycota; Eurotiomycetes; Eurotiales; Aspergillaceae.
UGGAAGUAAAAAAAUCGUAACAAGGUUUCCGUAGGUGAACCUGCGGAAGGAUCAUUACCGAGUGAGGGCCCUUUGGGUCCAACCUCCCACCCGUGUUUAUUUUACCUUGUUGCUUCGGCGGGCCCGCCUUUACUGGCCGCCGGGGGGCUCACGCCCCCGGGCCCGCGCCCGCCGAAGACACCCUCGAACUCUGUCUGAAGAUUGAAGUCUGAGUGAAAAUAUAAAUUAUUUAAAACUUUCAACAACGGAUCUCUUGGUUCCGGCAUCGAUGAAGAACGCAGCGAAAUGCGAUACGUAAUGUGAAUUGCAAAUUCAGUGAAUCAUCGAGUCUUUGAACGCACAUUGCGCCCCCUGGUAUUCCGGGGGGCAUGCCUGUCCGAGCGUCAUUGCUGCCCUCAAGCCCGGCUUGUGUGUUGGGCCCCGUCCUCCGAUUCCGGGGGACGGGCCCGAAAGGCAGCGGCGGCACCGCGUCCGGUCCUCGAGCGUAUGGGGCUUUGUCACCCGCUCUGUAGGCCCGGCCGGCGCUUGCCGAUCAACCCAAAUUUUUAUCCAGGUUGACCUCGGAUCAGGUAGGGAUACCCGCUGAACUUAAGCAUAUCAAUAGGCCGGGAGGAA